GCUGCUGAUUCAAUUUGCGCCGGUGCCGUUCGGAGCCGUGUCGUGCGGUGAAAGUGGGUGAAAUGUUGAGGAAGUAGUGAGUCACAUGUGUCAUAAUACCUAAAUUUGGAAGAAAAUGGCCCAGUGUUGUGUCUAUGGCUGCUCGGAGAAUGGUGGGCUUGUAUUUUCUCGCGACAAGAGGCCGAGGAAGAUAGGUAUGGCUCAGGCUGCAACGGAUUUCAUCCCACCAAACACUUGAUUGUGUGUCGGAAGCAUUUCACCGACGAUGAUUUUUUGGAAUAUAUUGCCUACGGUACAAGAAUGGGCUCAACAGGCAGAGGAAAUGGAGAAGAGUGCUCCAC
This is a long non-coding RNA of Amphibalanus amphitrite, 341 nucleotides long. RefSeq lists it as uncharacterized. Lineage: Eukaryota; Metazoa; Arthropoda; Thecostraca; Balanomorpha; Balanidae. The transcript is spliced from 2 exons. The record is from RefSeq and is a predicted model, not a curated record.